AUUGAACGCUGGCGGCAUGCCUUACACAUGCAAGUCGAACGGCAGCGCGGGAGCAAUCCUGGCGGCGAGUGGCGAACGGGUGAGUAAUAUAUCGGAACGUGCCCAGUAGUGGGGGAUAGCCCGGCGAAAGCCGGAUUAAUACCGCAUACGACCUGAGGGUGAAAGCGGGGGAUCGCAAGACCUCGCGCUAUUGGAGCGGCCGAUAUCAGAUUAGCUAGUUGGUGGGGUAAAGGCCUACCAAGGCAACGACCUGUAGUUGGUCUGAGAGGACGACCAGCCACACUGGGACUGAGACACGGCCCAGACUCCUACGGGAGGCAGCAGUGGGGAAUUUUGGACAAUGGGCGCAAGCCUGAUCCAGCAAUGCCGCGUGCAGG
Molecule: ribosomal RNA, 377 nt
Filed under: uncultured bacterium
Lineage: Bacteria
Description: bacterial SSU rRNA
Rfam family: Bacterial small subunit ribosomal RNA
Source: RNAcentral